UGCCAGCAGCCGCGGUAAUACGGAGGGUGCAAGCGUUACUCGGAAUCACUGGGCGUAAAGGGUGCGUAGGCGGUUUAACAAGUCAGGGGUGAAAUCCUACAGCUCAACUGUAGAACUGCUCUUGAAACUGUUAGACUAGAAUAUGGGAGAAGCAGAUGGAAUUAGUGGUGUAGGGGUAAAAUCCGUAGAGAUCACUAGGAAUACCGAUGGCGAAGGCGAUCUGCUGGAACAAUAUUGACGCUGAGGCACGAAAGCGUGGGUAGCAAACAGGAUUAGAUA
RNAcentral lists this ribosomal RNA (279 nucleotides) under uncultured bacterium. RNAcentral describes it as "partial 16S ribosomal RNA". It matches the Rfam family "Bacterial small subunit ribosomal RNA", at positions 506 to 784 of the family's 1533-position model. The record is from RNAcentral.